GCCACGUCAGAUCUAUCCAGAACAAAUGAGCCCCUCAACAGUUAGAUAGUGCAACUUACAUCGACCAGCUCCACCCACUCGCCUUCUUAUCUUAAAGAAAUUCUUGUAUCUACACCGGUGAGACUCUAAUUAAAGAAAUGGACGAGGAUUCGGGCUCUAGAAACAGAUCAUUUGACUCUAAUCAG
Long non-coding RNA from Rhodamnia argentea, 185 nucleotides. RefSeq lists it as uncharacterized. The record is from RefSeq and is a predicted model, not a curated record. The transcript has 4 exons. NCBI's taxonomy places the organism in Eukaryota, Viridiplantae, Streptophyta, Magnoliopsida, Myrtales, Myrtaceae.